RNAcentral lists this ribosomal RNA (253 nucleotides) under uncultured bacterium. RNAcentral describes it as "partial 16S ribosomal RNA". It matches the Rfam family "Bacterial small subunit ribosomal RNA", at positions 524 to 776 of the family's 1533-position model. The record is from RNAcentral.
UACGUAGGGGGCUAGCGUUGUCCGGAAUCAUUGGGCGUAAAGCGCGCGUAGGCGGCCCGGUAAGUCCGCUGUAAAAGUCCAGGGCUCAACCCUGGAACGCCGGUGGAUACUGUCGGGCUAGAGUCCGGAAGAGGCGAGUGGAAUUCCCAGUGUAGCGGUGAAAUGCGUAGAUAUUGGGAGGAACACCAGUGGCGAAGGCGGCUCACUGGACCGGAACUGACGCUGAGGCGCGAAAGCGUGGGGAGCAAACAGG